AAGGACCUAAAAAAUUAAUUUUAUU
Molecule: ribosomal RNA, 25 nt
Filed under: Scirtothrips dorsalis
Lineage: Eukaryota; Metazoa; Arthropoda; Insecta; Thysanoptera; Thripidae
Description: partial 16S ribosomal RNA
Source: RNAcentral